GACAGAGGUGCCGAGCGUUAGGCGGAAUCACUGGGCUUAAAGCGUGUGUAGGCGGAUGGGUAAGUACCUUGUGAAAUCCCACGGCUCAACCGUGGAACUGCUCGGUAUACUGCUCGUCUUGAGCCAACUAGGGGCGACCGGAACAAACGGUGGAGCGGUGAAAUGCGUAGAUAUUGGAAGGAACAUCAGUGGCGAAGGCGACUUUCUGGACAGAUACUGACACUGAGGCACGAAAGCAUGGGGAGCAAACAGG
RNAcentral lists this ribosomal RNA (253 nucleotides) under uncultured bacterium. RNAcentral describes it as "partial 16S ribosomal RNA". It matches the Rfam family "Bacterial small subunit ribosomal RNA", at positions 524 to 776 of the family's 1533-position model. The record is from RNAcentral.